UACAGAGGUGGCAAGCGUUGUUCGGAAUUACUGGGCGUAAAGGGCGCGUAGGCGGCCUUCUAAGUCAGACGUGAAAUCCCCCGGCUUAACCUGGGAACUGCGUCUGAUACUGUAGGGCUUGAGUGUAGUCGAGGUAGGCGGAAUUGACGGUGUAGCGGUGAAAUGCUUAGAUAUCGUCAAGAACACCGAUAGUGUAGACAGCUUACUAGGCUACAACUGACGCUGAGGCACGAAAGUGUGGGGAUCAAACAGG
This 253-nucleotide ribosomal RNA is filed under the name uncultured bacterium. RNAcentral describes it as "partial 16S ribosomal RNA". It matches the Rfam family "Bacterial small subunit ribosomal RNA", at positions 524 to 776 of the family's 1533-position model. The record is from RNAcentral.